Molecule: ribosomal RNA, 253 nt
Filed under: uncultured bacterium
Lineage: Bacteria
Description: partial 16S ribosomal RNA
Rfam family: Bacterial small subunit ribosomal RNA
Source: RNAcentral
UACGGGGGGGGCAAGCGUUGUUCGGAAUUACUGGGCGUAAAGGGCGCGUAGGCGGUUUGCUAAGUUGGACGUGAAAACUCUGGGCUUAACCCAGAGCCUGCAUCCAAAACUGGCAAGCUGGAGUAUUGGAGGGGGAAGCGGAAUUCCUGGUGUAGCAGUGAAAUGCGUAGAUAUCAGGAGGAACACCGGUGGCGAAGGCGGCUUCCUGGACAAUAACUGACGCUGAGGCGCGAAAGCUAGGGGAGCAAACAGG